RNAcentral lists this transfer RNA (69 nucleotides) under Lobotes surinamensis (Atlantic tripletail). RNAcentral's name for it is "tRNA-Ala". It matches the Rfam family "tRNA". From Rfam's summary of the family: Transfer RNA (tRNA) molecules are approximately 80 nucleotides in length. Their secondary structure includes four short double-helical elements and three loops (D, anti-codon, and T loops). Lineage: Eukaryota; Metazoa; Chordata; Actinopteri; Lobotiformes; Lobotidae. The record is from RNAcentral.
AAGGCUUUAGCUUAAUAAAAGCGCAUGCUUUGCACGUAUGUGAUGUGAGUUAGUGUCUUGCAGGCCUUA